UCCCAGAUAGUUCAGUGGUAGAACAACUGGCUGUUAACCAGUGGGUCCCUGGUUCGAAUCCAGGUCUGGGAGCAA
This 75-nucleotide transfer RNA is filed under the name Candidatus Magasanikbacteria bacterium CG10_big_fil_rev_8_21_14_0_10_38_6. Its description in RNAcentral is "tRNA-Asn". It matches the Rfam family "tRNA". From Rfam's summary of the family: Transfer RNA (tRNA) molecules are approximately 80 nucleotides in length. Lineage: Bacteria; Candidatus Magasanikiibacteriota. The record is from RNAcentral.